Molecule: ribosomal RNA, 767 nt
Filed under: uncultured bacterium
Lineage: Bacteria
Description: bacterial SSU rRNA
Rfam family: Bacterial small subunit ribosomal RNA
Source: RNAcentral
AGAGUUUGAUCAUGGCUCAGAAUGAACGUUGGCGGCGUGGAUUAGGCAUGCAAGUCGAGCGAGUCUACUUAGUAGCAAUAUUGAGUAAGUCGAGCGGCGUAAGGGGCAGUAAUACCUGGGAACGUACCCUGAGGUCGGGGAUAGCUGCUAGAAAUGGCGAGUAAUACCCGAUGAUCUCGAGAGAGCAAAGGCUUGCCGCCUUCGGAGCGGCCCAGGCGAUAUUAGCUAGUUGGUGGGGUAACGGCCUACCAAGGCUUAGAUGUCUAGCGGGUGUGAGAGCACGACCCGCGCCACUGGCACUGAGACACUGGCCAGACACCUACGGGUGGCUGCAGUCGAGAAUCUUCGGCAAUGAGCGCAAGCUUGACCGAGCGACGCCGCGUGCGGGAUGAAGGCCUUCGGGUUGUAAACCGCUUUGGUCCGAAAGAAAGGGUAAAACUUGAUCGAUCGGAGAAACAAGGACGGGCUAAGUUCGUGCCAGCAGCCGCGGUAAGACGAACCGUCCAAACGUUAUUCGGAAUCACUGGGCUUAAAGGGCGCGUAGGCGGCCGAGCGGGUCACGGGUGAAAUCCUCCAGCUUAACUGGAGAACUGCCCUUGAUACCACUGCGGCUCGAGGAAGGAAGGGGUCAUGGGAACUGUCGGUGGAGCGGUGAAAUGCGUUGAUAUCGACAGGAACGCCGGUGGCGAAAGCGCAUGACUGGUCCUUUUCUGACGCUGAGGCGCGAAAGCCAGGGGAGCAAACGGGAUUAGAUACCCUAGUAGUCC